GACGUAGGUGGCGAACGUUAUCCGGAAUCAUUGGGCGUAAAGGGUGCGUAGAUGGCAUAAUAAGUUAUUAGUGGGAAAUCGAGGCUCAACCUCGUGGAAGCUAGUAAUACUGUUUUGCUUGAGUGCAGAAGAGGUUAACGGAACUCCAUGUGGAGCGGUAAAAUGCGUAGAUAUAUGGAAGAACAUCAAUAACGGCGAAGGCAGUUAACUAUUCUGUUACUGACAUUGAGGCACGAAAGCGUGGGGAGCAAAACGG
This 256-nucleotide ribosomal RNA is filed under the name uncultured bacterium. RNAcentral describes it as "partial 16S ribosomal RNA". It matches the Rfam family "Bacterial small subunit ribosomal RNA", at positions 524 to 776 of the family's 1533-position model. The record is from RNAcentral.